CCUACGGGAGGCAGCAGUAGGGAAUUUUUCACAAUGGGCGAAAGCCUGAUGGAGCAACGCCGCGUGCAGGAUGAAGGCCUUCGGGUUGUAAACUGCUUUUAUAAGCGAGAAAUAUGAUGGUAACUUAUGAAUAAGGAUCGGCUAACUACGUGCCAGCAGCCGCGGUCAUACGUAGGAUCCGAGCAUUAUCCGGAGUGACUGGGUGUAAAGAGUUGCGUAGGUGGCAUAAGAAGUAGCUAGUGAAAUCUGGUGGCGCAACCAUUCAGACUAUUAGCUAAACUGUUAAGCUCGAGACCGUUAGGGGUAACUGGAAUUUCUAGUGUAGGAGUGAAAUCCGUAGAUAUUAGAAGGAACACCAAUAGCGUAGGCAGGUUGCUGGGACGGUUCUGACACUAAGGCACGAAAGCGUAGGGAGCAAACGGGAUUAGAUACCCGUGUAGUC
Molecule: ribosomal RNA, 442 nt
Filed under: uncultured bacterium
Lineage: Bacteria
Description: partial 16S ribosomal RNA
Rfam family: Bacterial small subunit ribosomal RNA
Source: RNAcentral